CUAAUGGAGGGAUUAUAUUAUAUAAUUCCUGGAAGGGAAAUUCCGAAAUGGUUUGAAAAGGUGAACAUAUGUGGUAGUUACGUUGUCACUCGUCCAUCUUGCUUCACACUCCAUUCUAAACCUUUAAAAAAAAAAAAAAAAAAAAAAGUGAAGAUACAAUUGCCUGGCUAUGGGCCUGGGUUUGGGUGUGAUGAGUGGAGGGGAAUUGUUUUGUGCGUUCUUUUUUUACCCAGCGAGCAUUGUCAGUACUCAAUCAAUGAGAUUGAAGUCGAUUCGAUUAAAGUGGAUGGAUGCCAAAUGAGUGAGAAAGCGCUCCUCGGAAAUCGGUUUUGGCGCGGAACUUGCUUUAAUGCCCGUGCCCAAGAAUAUGGUAAAGUUGAAUCGCAUCACAUUUGGCUGUACAGUAUGUCUUCCAAAACUCUUGGCUGCUCAGUUGAUGAGAAGAGAUUCCAUCAAGUUGAGCUUAGAAUAGCUAGCCAGGGCUUGGAGGUGGAGAAAAUUGGGUUUGGUGUGGUAUAAAAUAAGCAAAGAUCCUAAUCAAAAUAAGCGAAGCCAUGAUGAGGAUGAUGGGGAAGAACCGCGAUUCAAAGACUCGGGUAAUCGAUUUAUGGCUGAUUGUGAGGAAUCCAGUCAAAGAUAUUUUUUUUGUCUCUCUUCUUUUGCCUGCUUACCAAAGAGUUCGACAGACAAGCCAAGGAUUUGGAGAGUAGAAAUGAUCCAGACACUAACAAGAUGCUGAAUGAGAAAAAACAGUCAAUGAUCAAAUAGUUGAAUUCAUACGUUGUUCUUCAAAAGCAGAUUUAUUUUCAAUUUGUUGUGGAUACAAAUAUGCAUCAAAUCUUGAAAACAAGAGAAUUGACCCCUUUGAUGGGUCACCGAAGGAUAUGGGGAAGAUAAUGGCUUGCUAGCAUUGACCAUGACAAAUCAACAGUAAAUAGAUAGUGGAAACUGGAUGAGACUGAUCAAGCCAUUGAGAGGUCAAAAAAGACUGUUCAAGACAUCAUCAAUGUUGGAACAGAGACUGCAGCAGCACUCAAGGCUCAGGU
Quercus lobata is the source of this 1046-nucleotide long non-coding RNA. RefSeq lists it as uncharacterized. NCBI's taxonomy places the organism in Eukaryota, Viridiplantae, Streptophyta, Magnoliopsida, Fagales, Fagaceae. The record is from RefSeq and is a predicted model, not a curated record. The transcript is spliced from 6 exons.